UUAAAUCAGUUAUGGUUCCUUGGAUCGUACCCCACUACUGGAUAACUGUGGCAAUUCUAGAGCUAAUACAUGCAGCAGAGCUCCGACCUUCGGGGACGAGCGCUUUUAUUAGACCAAAACCAAUCGGGCCUCGUGUCCGUGAAACGUGGUGACUCUGUAUAACUUUGGGCUGAUCGCACGGGCUUGUCCCGGCGACGUAUCUUUCAAGUGUCUGCCUUAUCAACUGUCGAUGGUAGGUUAUGCGCCUACCAUGGUCGUAACGGGUAACGGGGAAUCAGGGUUCGAUUCCGGAGAGGGCGCCUGAGAAACGGCGACCACAUCCAAGGAAGGCAGCAGGCGCGCAAAUUACCCACUCCCGGAACGGGGAGGUAGUGACGAAAAAUAACAAUACGGGACUCUUUUGAGACCCCGUAAUUGGAAUGAGUACACUCUAAAUCCUUUAACGAGGACCCACUAGAGGAAAAGUCAGGUGCCAGCACCCGCGGUAAUUCCUGUUCUAGUAGUGUAUAUUAAAGUUGUUGCGGUUAAAAAGCUCGUAGUUGGAUCUCAGUUCGAGUCGGGUGGUCCCCCAACCGGGGGCUACUGCCUGUUCUCAACACCAGCCGGUUUCUCUAGAUGAUCUUCACCGGUUGUCUUGGGUGACCGGCAAGUUUACUUUGAAAAAAUUAGAGUGCUCAAAGCAGGCGCGACGCCUGAAUAAUGUUGCAUGGAAUAAUGAAAUAGGACCUCGGUUCUAUUUUGUUGGUUUUCGGAACAAGAGGUAAUGCAUUAAGAGGGACAGACGGGGGCAUUCGUAUUGCGACGCUAGAGUUAAAGGAAUUGACGGAGGGGCACCACCAGACGUGGAGCCUGCGGCUUAAUUUGACUCAACACGGAAAACUCACCCGGCCCGGACACAGGAAGGAUUGACAGAUUGAGAGCUCUUUCUUGAUUCUGUGGAAGGUGGUGCAUGGCCGCUCUUAGUUGGUGGAGCGAUUUGUCUGGUUUAUUCCGAUAACGAACGAGACCCUAGCCUACUAAAUAGACGUCCCGAUUCUUCUCGGUCGGGCGUUCUUCUUAGAGGGAUAAGUGGCGUUUAGCCGCACGAAACGGGGCAAUAGCAGGUCAGUGAUGCCCUCAGAUGUCCGGGGCCGCACGCGCGCUACAUUGAAGGAAUCAGCGUGUGCUUUCCCUGUCCGACAGGACUGGGUAACCCGUUGAACCUCCUUCGUGCUGGGGAUAGGAAAUUGUAACUGUUUUCCUUGAACGAGGAACGCCUAGUAAGCGCGAGUCAUAAGCUCGUGCUGACUAUGUCCCUGCCCCUUGUGCACACCGCCCGUCGCCACUACCGAUUGAAUGACUUAGUGAGGACAUCGGACUGGCGCUCGGACUGGCCUUCGGUCGGGCCGCGUGCCGGAAAGAUGUCCAAACUUGACCAUUUAGAGGAAGUGAAAGUCGUAACAAGGUUUCC
RNAcentral lists this ribosomal RNA (1450 nucleotides) under Mimetus sp. GH1615. Its description in RNAcentral is "SSU rRNA". It matches the Rfam family "Eukaryotic small subunit ribosomal RNA". Lineage: Eukaryota; Metazoa; Arthropoda; Arachnida; Araneae; Mimetidae. The record is from RNAcentral.